UACGAAGGGUGCAAGCGUUACUCGGAAUUACUGGGCGUAAAGCGUGCGUAGGCGGUUCGUUAUGUCUGAUGUGAAAGCCCUGGGCUCAACCUGGGAAUGGCAGUGGAAACUGGCGAGCUAGAGUGCGGUAGAGGGUAGUGGAAUUCCCGGUGUAGCAGUGAAAUGCGUAGAGAUCGGGAGGAACAUCUGUGGCGAAGGCGGCUGCCUGGACCAGCACUGACACUGAGGCACGAAAGCGUGGGGAGCAAACAGG
Molecule: ribosomal RNA, 253 nt
Filed under: uncultured bacterium
Lineage: Bacteria
Description: partial 16S ribosomal RNA
Rfam family: Bacterial small subunit ribosomal RNA
Source: RNAcentral